AGGAAGUAAAAGUCGUAACAAGGUCUCCGUUGGUGAACCAGCGGAGGGAUCAUUACUGAGUUUACGCUCUACAACCCUUUGUGAACAUACCUACAACUGUUGCUUCGGCGGGUAGGGUCUCCGCGACCCUCCCGGCCUCCCGCCUCCGGGCGGGUCGGCGCCCGCCGGAGGAUAACCAAACUCUGAUUUAACGACGUUUCUUCUGAGUGGUACAAGCAAAUAAUCAAAACUUUUAACAACGGAUCUCUUGGUUCUGGCAUCGAUGAAGAACGCAGCGAAAUGCGAUAAGUAAUGUGAAUUGCAGAAUUCAGUGAAUCAUCGAAUCUUUGAACGCACAUUGCGCCCGCCAGCAUUCUGGCGGGCAUGCCUGUUCGAGCGUCAUUUCAACCCUCAAGCUCUGCUUGGUGUUGGGGCCCUACAGCCGAUGUAGGCCCUCAAAGGUAGUGGCGGACCCUCCCGGAGCCUCCUUUGCGUAGUAACUUUACGUCUCGCACUGGGAUCCGGAGGGACUCUUGCCGUAAAACCCCCCAAUUUUCCAAAGGUUGACCUCGGAUCAGGUAGGAAUACCCGCUGAACUUAAGCAUAUCAAUAAGCGGAGG
RNAcentral lists this ribosomal RNA (599 nucleotides) under Colletotrichum gloeosporioides. RNAcentral describes it as "eukaryotic LSU rRNA". The stretch from base 228 to 381 matches the Rfam family "5.8S ribosomal RNA". The record is from RNAcentral. Lineage: Eukaryota; Fungi; Ascomycota; Sordariomycetes; Glomerellales; Glomerellaceae.